Long non-coding RNA from Thamnophis elegans (Western terrestrial garter snake), 660 nucleotides. RefSeq lists it as uncharacterized. NCBI's taxonomy places the organism in Eukaryota, Metazoa, Chordata, Lepidosauria, Squamata, Natricidae. The record is from RefSeq and is a predicted model, not a curated record. The transcript is spliced from 2 exons.
UGGAUCCUAACCAUGCUGCAGAGCAAGGCAGAAUGAAGAGGGAUGCCCAUCAAAGGGCUAGAAAUUCACUGUACAAACAUUUGAGGGCUCAUGAAAAAGUUCAGGAAACAUGGGGAGGGGGUAGUUCACCCCUUCGCCUUCCCUGGAGAAUCAAAAUAUCACAGAAUAUGGAUUCCAUUCUGUGUGGUUCCUUCCAACAGAGCUUUCCUUUGUAGGUGUUUAGGGAGCGACUCACCACUGUGAAAGAAACACCGCUUUGAAAACGACCCUGCUUAGAGAGUUAUUUAUUCACUUUCAUUUCAACUCAUCUGCCUACAAAAAUAACAACGAUGGGAAUGCAUUCAGAGAAACAAAGCUUUCAUCACUGGAAGAUGGGUUCAACACAAAAUUAAUCACAGCUUUCUGAAAGCCAAUCUGUGAAAGUCUGUUGGACUUCUGCAGCAAUGGAUACCUUGCCAAUGCUGGAAUCAGCAAAGCCUGAAGAUUUUCCAGUGGCAGUCAUGGAAAUGUUUACUUACAUUCCAAACUGCUGCCACCUUUCACACAAAUUGACACAUCCAAGCGAUUCUCUCUUGCGUUGUCCAGUGAUUUGGGAUGGAGACCAUCUUGGAAACAUUAUGAUAUAUCUUUCUUUCCAGAAUAAUAUGUGAAUAGCUUAAA